RNAcentral lists this long non-coding RNA (424 nucleotides) under Equus caballus (horse). RNAcentral describes it as "lncRNA (ENSECAG00000045672.1)". Lineage: Eukaryota; Metazoa; Chordata; Mammalia; Perissodactyla; Equidae. The record is from RNAcentral.
GAAGACAGAACAUAUACCUAUUUUAUUUUUAUAUUGUCCUUUAAAAAGGUUCUGCUCAAUACCAGAACUGAGUCUGCUUUUUAGUGGUAGUAAACAAGAGUAAAGACAUAUCCCCGGCGUCGGUGUCCCCAGGCACAGGAGACUUGAGAGAAGGUUUUCAGUAACAGAAGCUUUAAACAUAAACAUGAAUUAUUAAUUGCAAACUUCCUAUAAAUUCUACCAGAUUACCAUUCAAAGGCGGUGCAAGUCUAUCAAUGGAGAAUCCCUCUGGGACAGUGAUGAGGAACUAGGUGCAAAGCAGCAUGGGAAGACCUGGGGUAGGCGCGGAUUCCUGGCUUCUACUGCAUCAUGAAGCAGAAAGUUCUCCCCAUUCUUGCCAGCAGAGCAGGAGCUACCUUGCAGGAGACAAAGAAGGGCCUGAACU